AUCUUUGACAGCUUUAAAGGAAUUUGCACAAAGGAAGGAGACAGCUGCUGUUCUGAUGAAGGAUUUUUCUGAGCAGGCCUCCCAAGCUAGACGUGCCACUAUGAGAUGCUGCCUACACUUUUCAUCAUGAGCAACAGGUGACUAAUCUGCAAUCAGAAACACUUAGCAGGAAUGGAUCAGUCGCUGUUAUGAAGUUUGAGCUUAUAGCAUUUUUUCAUGCUGGAAUGCGAGGGCUAAGAAUGUGUUGACACAGUGCAAUUGAGGACUUCCAGACACAGUGAAAUCCUUGCAAGAGGCAUCGGAGAGUGGAUUGGCAGAGUUUUAGAAGCCCGGCAGCUGUUAGCCUGCUGCAGCAUGAGGAAGAGUCUUCGGUCUCUCCAAUGUACAGGAAAGAGAAGACGAAUUGUAGUAAAUGUCCGCCUUCGAUACUGAGGAAAAGGCCACCCGUGAACCAAGCUGUGAGCGAAAAGCGAAAAGCAGAGAGAAGGGUUCGAUUUCGUGAGCCAGAGAUCACUGGAUAUGACAUUUCCUGCUGGGACUACAGAGUUGCACAUGACAGGCCAUCAGCUGGAUUGCCUUUGCUCCUGUGGAUUUCGCUUUGUUUAGUGCUGAUCCUGGCUGUGAGUCUGUACUACAGCAGCGUGAAGCAGAAUUUCAAAGUCUUGGAAGAAUUUCAAUCCCAGCUCGUUAUCUUCUUUCUUCAGAUAAGACGCGUUGCUUUGAAAUGCUGGACUUGGUUUAUGAGGCAAUAACAGUGUCACACGUGUGGAAUUGUGCAUGGCCCAAGACAAAGAUCUUAGCAGAUAACGUCUAAACGUAUAUUGCAGCACAAGGCUCACAGCCCACUCAAACCAAACACCAGAGAAUGCGCCAGCCUUCCCUUUGAAGACUAAUAGAGCUGACCCUGUUGUACAUUUACCUUUUCCUGUAGCCACUUGUUUUCCAUUUCUUUUAUUAUUAUUGUAUGUAUUACACUAACACCUAGAGGUUGCAACCAAAAUCAGAGCUCCACUGUCCUAGGCAAUACAUAAAUAUCUGAUAAGAGAUAGUCCCUGCCUCAGAGAGCUUAUAAACUGAAGAAACAAGAAAAAGCAAAGGGACAGAAACACAGAGAUUAAUUGAUUCAAUCAAGGUCACAUAGGUAGAUAAUACCAGGAACUAAACCCAGGUCAAUCAAGUCUCAGGUCAGUAGCUUAAUCACAAGACCAUCAUUCCACUCUGGUUUUGCUACUGGGAUGUGUGCAAGCAUUACUACUUGUGUUUGAGGGCUCUGCAAUGCUGUAUUUUACACAUAUGUGAAAUGAUUGGGAGUAAAACCUUGGCAGAUGGUGUUCUCAUUUCCCCUCAAGCUUUCUCCUAUGUGGGCAAAAGAUAGCUCUUGGAAAUGUUUCACCGGGCUCCCAGGCAUGGAAGAGAGAAUGGAAACUCAUUUAAACAGGCUAUGGUUAUUUGCUUAAUAUCACACAUAACAGAAUUGAAUCCCAGGUUAAUUAUCAAGUCAGUAGUUUAAUCCUAUGAGUUUGAUUCAGUCCGUAAACCUCAUGAGCCAAGUUUACAUGGUUUGUGACAUCAACAAACUUUUUCAAUUUACUUAUAGCUUGUAUUCAGUCAGGGGGCCAUGUAUUCAUUCCAUGCAUGCUCAACUAUAGUUUAAGGCUUUGCAUAAUGCUACAGUUGAGUGUUUAUGAAGGUAGCAAGGAUAAAGCUCCAUUGUUUUGGGAGGCCCCCCCAUUAAUAUCCUACAGUAAAGAUAUUUCUGAAGGGGAUCAUUUUAACAAUGAUAGUGCAAUAAAUGCUGAGUGCCUCUUGUAUGUGUCAAAGUGGACCCCAAUGUGUCUAUCCAAGUGUGUCUCAGAGAGGGCCAACAAAUUCAUCUGGCCUGUGAGCACUAGCUUCCUGGACUUUAUUUUCUCCAUAGGCAUAAAUAGCAACAUCCUUUUUUGCCUGGCCUUCUUUUCAAGUAAAAUUAAAAGAAAAUAUGUUGACAAGUGCCCUACUGUAUUCAGAAAGAUAAAGACUACCUGAGAAUCUGCAACAGCAGAAAAAACCCUGUGAAGAAGAUGGAAGACAAUGCUUGCAAGAUCCCAAAGUCCCCUGUCGUGACAACCAACAAAACACUGUGCAUAUUAUUGUUGACUGAUAAAGAAUAUUCCAGAUGGUAUUGAGGGGCAACAGCACAUCAUCUUCCAGGCAACUUAAAGUAGGCAAAGAAUUAAAUAGGAACAGGGAGAAGCAAUCUUUUCUCCUAAGGAAUGUAUGCCUCGUCUCAAUUGAAAACGGAUGAAACCAACUACGGUAUUGAGCCUCAAAAGCAGAAAGAGGGGACUUCAGCAGCUAAUCUGAUGCUCACCAUAGGCUGUGACAGGCCCAUGGGCAAUUGCAUCAGACAAGCUGCCAAUUUGGGGGUCAAAGGAUGUUCACAUAGGUGUAUUCAUCCCUGUGACUUUUUACACAAACCAAUUGUGUGGUUCAGUCUAAUGGGAGUAAGUUGUACCAUCGCCUUGCUCCCCGUUUCCUUUUUUUAAGUAAUAAGGUGAGAGAUUUAUAACUUUUAUGUGAGUGACUCAUUAAAACAUUUCUUGAGAAAGGUUAGGAAAUGGUAUAUUAGUGAGAUGAGCACUAACCUGCAACCCCUCCCUCCGUCUACACAGAUGUGACUGAUCCCUGUUUAGCUCACCUUUUCUGGAGCUGAAUUGUAAUUUCUGGAAGAGGCACACUGAAAACAGGGAGCUUGUUUUGAAAGGGCAGUUUGUUCAGCAAGAGCCAUGGCGUAGUACUGCAGGUAAUACAUACAGCAACUUCAAUGGUCUGGGAGGGGACGUGCUAGCUUGUACCACCCUGAUAUGCUAAUGUAAUGCUUUACACUUUAAACAAAUGUUAAGAAGAUAAAAUGGCAACUCCAGAAUAAGGAUUGGAAAGGACAAGAAGCAGGGAUGAAAUCCACAUUUAAUAGCAUGUUAUUUAUUUACAAGACGGAAACCGCCUUUAAAACUGGUCUAAAAAUGUUUGAGGUCAGUUAUACAUAACAGAUUAUCUCAGUCUCAAACAAAUUGUAUUCAGUAUGUAUUUUAGGCCUUUGAAAUUAUUUAAACCUAAUCCACUUCCUCUGAGGGAAUUAUCCUCCUUUUACAGCAGAAGUCUCAGAUAAACCUAAUGACCUGCCCAAGUUAAGACAGCAAAUCAGUAACAGAGCCAGGAAUCUCUGAUCCCACAUCUCCUUGCUCCCAAAUCUCCUGACCACAAAUCUCCUGGAAUAUUUGAACCUCUGAAAGUUAGACAGGUCAUUAACUUGGGCACCCAAAUCUCUUGGUUAACCACUAGACCAUACUUCCCCUCUGCUGUUAUCCCUUCUAUUUUCUCCUCACACAUAAGCUGAUGCCCAAUCCAUUCAUUCCCUCAGACGUUCUCUCACACACACACAUUGUCUGACUCACUUGUUUAUUCUCUUACUAUUCUUUAUUCAUCACCAGAUGUACUUGCACCAUUGUUAACUGGACUGGAAUCUUCGUUGUUAAUGUUAGAUGGAUUGGUGUCAAAAGGUGAAGAGUAAUAGGACAUAAAAUCAGAAAACUAAAAAGGUGCCAGGCAGUCACAGGACAAAGGUCAUGAUGGGUUGUAUUCCUCUUGAGGAUUGUAACAAAAUACGUGAUUGAUCAGAAAUUGUCAAAACUUUUCAUAUUAAUUUAAUUCCUUGUGAGAACUUGCUGAGAUUGCAUGAAGUCAGCAAUGUAACCAAUAGACCAAUAUGGUUCGCGAGAUAAAUCAGGGGUUCCCAAUAUUUUUCACAGUUAGGACCACGUUAGUAGACAGAUUGGGUAGCAGGCUUUCUGUCUACAACUGUAUGAACUGUCUCAUCUCCCCUUGAUGAGUGCAUAUCCCUUAUGUCACUACUAUAGCAGUUGCUUACCUGGAAACAUAAUACUAGGAGAACACCUAUGGAUUGUGACCUCGGGAGUAUCUCAAGGAAUGAGAUGAGACCACAUCAUCUAAAAAUCCAACAAACUUUUGAUGCAUCACAAGCCGUAACAUAGCAAUGCCUGCCCCCUGUAGAGCUGGUAACAGGCAACCCCACCCACCAAACAAACAUUUAGUUUUAAUCCUAUUCUCUCAGCUUUCUCUUUCAAACCACACCCACUUGCAGCCCAGCUAAUGGGGGACAGGCAGCCCAUUACAGUCAUUUUAGUUGUCAUUUAAAGCCAUGUUAGCACUUGGAAAGAGAUGCCAGCACCAUGCGAGAGGACAGCUCUCUCAGAAGAAUUAUCAAGUGUUCUGUGAAUAACAGUUGAGGAACCGCUGAGGUAAAUAACAAGCAUUCUUUAAAUGGACUAGUUCCUUACUAAUUCACUAUCCCAGAAUAGCCCUGGCUCUCAGCAACCAUUGAACACACCAUGCAGGGCAGCAUACCCAUUUAUUUACUUUAUUUAUGCCGCAAAGAGAAAAUCAACUUGUCAUGGUUCAGAUUUUGGGCCUGACUCAAGAAGGAAGGUAAUACCACUAUGAUACUUAGUAAGUGGUUGGUCCUCCAUGGUAUAUAGAAAUCACAGCAUCCUUUCCUCAUCAGCUACACUUACAGGGCACCCAUGACUGGAUUGGAACUGAAAGGACCCACGGUUGGUGGACUGAAUCCUGGAUGCUGCUGUUUUUUAAUGAUAGCCCCCCACCACUGGACGUGGCAUUUCUACCUCAGCUAUAUGACUGGGAUGCAAGUUUUUCUCAGCUGAAAUGAGUCCCGGUGAAAGAUCAGGUAAUGCAGUUUGCAAAGGCUUCCAACAGUUUAUAGGGGGAAUGAAAAUACUCUCAUAGGUCAGGAAGGCUAACAGGAGUCACCAGCAUGUUCGUAAUAUUGAAGCUUCGCAAUGAGGACAGGGAGCCAGACAGUGGAAAUGACACAUACAGAAUGAGUACAAUAUUAGCAAUAGGAAUCUAAAACAUGUACUGCUAGCAAGGAUCAUUUUGUCCUUAUCAGACAGGCAGAUUACACAGAUAGGCUGCAAACACUGCAGGCCAGAAUCUCAGCUACUAUAAACUAGGAUCUCUCUUUUGACUCUUGGAGCUCACUAGCUAAGAAUAAGGCCCUACAGUAAAAUUAUUCCAGUAGAAGUUCAAAAGACAGGCAUGAAAACACUGAAUUUUCAAAUAAUUUAUUUGUGUAUAGCACUAAAUCAUAAAAGCGCAAUGCACUGUCCAGCAAAAAGCAUUCAAUACAAAAACACGUUCAUUCAAUAUCAAUAAUACUGGAGCACAUUAGUUACACUGAACCCAGUCCUGCUCCCCUCAAAGCCAGUGCAAAUUUUGCCAGUGAUUUCGCUGACAGAAGGAUCAGGUUCAUUCUUUCCAUUUUGCCAAAUGUUUAUAAAGUAUUCUAUUAAAAUGCUAGUAACUGAUUUUCCAUAUGUAAGUAAACUGCAUCCCUUUCACUACUGCAUAAAAACAAUAAUAAACAUUAUUCAGAC
This is a long non-coding RNA of Trachemys scripta elegans, 5453 nucleotides long. RefSeq lists it as uncharacterized. Lineage: Eukaryota; Metazoa; Chordata; Testudines; Emydidae. The transcript is spliced from 6 exons. The record is from RefSeq and is a predicted model, not a curated record.